Molecule: ribosomal RNA, 253 nt
Filed under: uncultured microorganism
Description: partial 16S ribosomal RNA
Rfam family: Bacterial small subunit ribosomal RNA
Source: RNAcentral
UACGUAGGGUGCGAGCGUUAAUCGGAUUUACUGGGCGUAAAGCGUGCGCAGGCGGCCUGUUAAGACAGGUGUGAAAUCCCUGGGCUCAACCUAGGAAUUGCGCUUGUGACUGGCGGGCUCGAGUACGGUAGAGGGGGGUGGAAUUCCUGGUGUAGCAGUGAAAUGCGUAGAGAUCAGGAGGAACACCGAUGGCGAAGGCAGCCCCCUGGGCCUGUACUGACGCUCAUGCACGAAAGCGUGGGGAGCAAACAGG